This 488-nucleotide ribosomal RNA is filed under the name uncultured euryarchaeote. Its description in RNAcentral is "bacterial SSU rRNA". It matches the Rfam family "Archaeal small subunit ribosomal RNA", at positions 860 to 1349 of the family's 1478-position model. The record is from RNAcentral. Lineage: Archaea; Methanobacteriati; Methanobacteriota.
AGGAAUUGGCGGGGGAGCACCGCAACGGGAGGAGCGUGCGGUUUAAUUGGAUUCAACACCGGAAAACUCACCAAGGGCGACUGUUACAUGAAAGCCAGGCUAAUGACCUUGCUUGAUUUUCAGAGAGGUGGUGCAUGGCCGUCGUCAGUUCGUACCGUAAGGCGUUCUCUUAAGUGAGAUGACGAACGAGACCCUCACCGAUGAUUGCCAGUCCGAUCCCCGGAUCGGGCGCACAUUAUAGGGACCGCUGGCGCUAAGCCAGAGGAAGGAGAGGUCAACGGUAGGUCAGUAUGCCCCGAAUCUCUUGGGCUACACGCGCGCUACAAAGGGCGGGACAAUGGGUUCCGACGCCGAGAGGCGGAGGCAAUCCCGAAACCCGUCCGUAGUUCGGAUUGAGGGUUGUAACUCACCCUCAUGAAGCUGGAUUCCGUAGUAAUCGCGAAUCAACAACUCGCGGUGAAUAUGCCCCUGCUCCUUGCACACACCGC